AACGAACGCUGGCGGCAUGCCUAACACAUGCAAGUCGAACGAUUGCCUUCGGGUGAUAGUGGCGCACGGGUGCGUAACGCGUGGGAAUCUGCCCUUAGGUUCGGAAUAACAGCUGGAAACGGCUGCUAAUACCGGAUGAUAUCGCGAGAUCAAAGAUUUAUCGCCUGAGGAUGAGCCCGCGUUGGAUUAGGUAGUUGGUGGGGUAAAGGCCUACCAAGCCGACGAUCCAUAGCUGGUCUGAGAGGAUGAUCAGCCACACUGGGACUGAGACACGGCCCAGACUCCUACGGGAGGCAGCAGUGGGGAAUAUUGGACAAUGGGCGCAAGCCUGAUCCAGCAAUGCCGUGUGAGUGAUGAAGGCCCUAGGGUUGUAAAGCUCUUUUACCCGGGAAGAUAAUGACGGUACCGGGAGAAUAAGCCCCGGCUAACUCCGUG
This 435-nucleotide ribosomal RNA is filed under the name uncultured bacterium. RNAcentral's name for it is "partial 16S ribosomal RNA". It matches the Rfam family "Bacterial small subunit ribosomal RNA", at positions 29 to 507 of the family's 1533-position model. The record is from RNAcentral.